This is a long non-coding RNA of Mesocricetus auratus (golden hamster), 1553 nucleotides long. RefSeq lists it as uncharacterized. The record is from RefSeq and is a predicted model, not a curated record. The transcript is spliced from 3 exons. NCBI's taxonomy places the organism in Eukaryota, Metazoa, Chordata, Mammalia, Rodentia, Cricetidae.
UUCCCAGGUGCAGUGGUCAGGGACUUGGCAGGUGACACUAACCAGCCUCCCUGAAGCCCAGGGAGAUGGCUGUCAGUGGGCGUGGCCUCAUCUGAUGAACUCCUAAAAGGAACUCGGCUCCUCCUGCGGCCUGAGGAUGAUUCCACCCGUGGGGGGCGCUUUGCUGUUGACCUUGAAGGUGCACAUCCAUGCCACAUAGCAAGGAACAUCCCAUACCACAUAGCAAGGAACAGCAGAUGGCCUCUGAAACCGAGAGCAGUCCCUGCCCAUAGCCAGGAAGGUACCAGGGACACUAAAACCUCAUUGCUAGAGUCGCAUGGAAAUGGGUACCACUCCAAUCUGAAUGAGCUCCAAACACGGAGCACGACCCAGCCCAGCCAACACCUGAGUUCAGUCUUGGGAAGCCUGCAGCUGUUCCGGAUUCUUGACCCACAGAAAGAGACAGCACCUUCGUGGGUGCCGUUUCAGGGUUCAGCGUGAAAAAGGAACAGUCCUCCGAGCAGAUGCGUUAGCCCUGCCCGUUCCGUCCUGGUUCCAAUCCAUCAUCACGGGAGAUCCAAGGAGCACAAAUUUGAAGCAGCUAAUCGCGGCGUAUCCACAAUCGGGAGCCGAGAGUGGUGCUGUAUCACGGUGCAUGUGAUGAUCAGAGACAACUUGCAAGAGUCAUCUCUCUUCUUCCAUCGGGUGGGACCUGGGGGUUGACUUCAGGUCACUAGGACUGAUGGCAAGGCCCUUUGCCAGUGAGCCAUCUUGUUAGUCCUGAAGAUAAUACUUUUAUACGCAGAAGGGGAGUCAAAACUUUGAAAUGAAACCGGCAGAGGUGGUGGCAACCACCUUUAAUCCCAGCACUGGGGAGACAGAGCCAGGCAGAUCGCUGUGAGUUCGAGGCCAGCCUGGUCUAUAGAGAUAGUUCCAGGGCAGCCAGCGCUACACAGAGAAACUGUGUCUCAGAAAAAAACCAAAACAACAACAAAAAGUUUGAUGAUGGGGCUGUCCUUCUGUGUAUAUGUUUCUCUUAUGAUGAAUAAAAAACUAUGUGACUAGUGGCCAGGUAGCAGGGAUAGGCAAGGCUACCAGAGGAGGACAAUUCUGGGAAGUGUAGGCAGACAGGAGUUCUGAUGAUAGCCCAGGAAGAGAGACGUGCAAGGUGUUCUCCGGUAAGCCAAGACCACAUAGAAAUACACAGAUCAAGAGAAAUGGGUUAAUAAUUAAGACAGAGCUAGCCAAUAAGAAGCCCAAGGCACUGGCCAACAGUUUUAUAAUUAAUAUGUUUUGUGUGUUUAUUUGAGGGCUCUCAAGGGCAGCAGGACUCUGCCAGGACAAAGAACCUCUCAUAACACUCACUUUGAAAUGAGGCUGGAGGUGUAGCUCAGUUGGUAGAGUUCUAGUCUGGCGUGCACGAAGCACUGGGUUGGAUCACCUGCCCUGCGUAACUUAGAUGCAAUGAUCCCAGCAUUCAGGAGGUAGAGGGAGGAAGAUCUGAAAUUCAAGCUUAUCCUUGGCAACACAGUGUUUUAGAGGCUAGCCAAAAAUAAAUGAGGCUGACAGGGUGA